This 459-nucleotide ribosomal RNA is filed under the name uncultured bacterium. RNAcentral describes it as "partial 16S ribosomal RNA". It matches the Rfam family "Bacterial small subunit ribosomal RNA", at positions 338 to 795 of the family's 1533-position model. The record is from RNAcentral.
CCUACGGGUGGCAGCAGUGAGGAAUAUUGGUCAAUGGACGAGAGUCUGACCCAGCCAAGUAGCGUGAAGGAUGACUGCCCUAUGGGUUGUAAACUUCUUUUAUAAAGGAAUAAAACGAGGCACGUGUGCCUUUUUGCAUGUACUUUAUGAAUAAGGAUCGGACAAUUCCGUUCCAGCAGCCGCGGUAAUAUGGAGGAUCCGAUCGUUAUCCGGAUUUAUUGGGUUUAAAGGGAGCGUAGGCGGAAGGUUAAGUCAGCGGUAAAAUGUCGUUGCUCAACACCGGCCUGCCGUUGAAACUGGUCAUCUGGAGUGAGCGAGAAGUAUGCGGAAUGCGUGGUGUAGCGGUGAAAUGCAUAGAUAUCACGCAGAACUCCGAUGGCGAAGGCAGCAUACCGGCGCUCAACUGACGCUGAGGCACGAAAGCGUGGGGAUCGAACAGGAUUAGAUACCCUUGUAGUC